AUGACCACUGCUCCCCAACCUGAGCUGCACGGAGCUGGGCGUCUGGUCGGAGAAGCGGGGUCUCUACCCCAGUGGGUGGGCUCCUGCACCCGGCUGCUCCUCAGCAGGCAGUGUUGCAGGUUCAGCCGUGCCCCACCAUUCCCGGCUACGGCGGUGCCCCACCAUUCCCGGCUACGGCGGUGCCCCACCAUUCCUGGCUACGGCGGCACCACAGUCUGCCCACUCACCUGCUCAGGUGCACCUGUCGCGCCCCACCCUCACCUGUCUCCCUUCCUCUCAAGGAGCGAAGACGCCCCUUCCCACGGCUCCCACUGCCCCCGAGGUGCCCAAGGGGCUGCCACGGUGUCCUCCAAGGAGGAGCCCCAGACUGGGCGUGAGAGGACACUGGUGUUAGCCAGGGGCUGGAUGGCACGGCAAACCUCCCUCUUCAGGAAGGAAGCCUGCCGCGGGCACUGUCCACCCCGGGCCCCCGCUGCCUCAGGGCAGGGGUGCCAGCCCCAGGGUGGCCACGUGGGCACUGGGCCUCACUGGCCCCAAGCGCGACCUAAGGGUCUUAGGAGUGAGCGUCCCCGGGUGCUGCUGGGAUCUGCAGCCUGCACUCGACCUCCGGUUUUGUCUGCACCGUGGGUGGGUGGGUGGGUGGGUACGUUUGGGAGGCUGAGGGAGAGCCAGUGCCCCCCCGAGAUCCUGGGGGAGCCGGGGACCCAGGCUGGAGGCAGCCGAGUGGCACGAGUGUGUGCAUGUGUCGGGGGGGGGAUUCUUUCAGCAGCCCCUCGUGGACUUGCAAGCAGGAAGGAAGGAACCAGCCGGUUGCCCACUCCUGUCCCCUGCAGCUGCACAGGGGCCUCGGCACGUGCACGGACGUGUCCCCAGGCCGGCCCUGCACCUCAGGUCACAGACUCCACGGACACUGUCGGCCACUCACUCAGACUUUAUUCAAAGACCAGGGGUGGGCUGCGGGGAUGGGGGGUGCAGGGGGCAGAAGGCAGGGGAACUCCCCGGUCCAGCUUACCCAUAUCUGCAGGUAAUGUGGGGUCAGUUCUCUAA
This 1047-nucleotide long non-coding RNA is filed under the name Oryctolagus cuniculus (rabbit). RNAcentral describes it as "lncRNA (ENSOCUG00000029829.1)". The record is from RNAcentral. Lineage: Eukaryota; Metazoa; Chordata; Mammalia; Lagomorpha; Leporidae.